GGUUGGUCUGAAGUUAGUGAGUUACCUCAAUUGAUUGUUUACAGUGAGUUGUAGGUCAGACUCCUUCUUCUAACUGUUUUCCCCUUCUCAUUAAUACACUUGACUAGUCUUUU
Molecule: Y RNA, 113 nt
Filed under: Saimiri boliviensis boliviensis (Bolivian squirrel monkey)
Lineage: Eukaryota; Metazoa; Chordata; Mammalia; Primates; Cebidae
Description: Y RNA (ENSSBOG00000013809.1)
Rfam family: Y RNA
About the family: Y RNAs are components of the Ro ribonucleoprotein particle (Ro RNP), in association with Ro60 and La proteins. The Y RNAs and Ro60 and La proteins are well conserved, but the function of the Ro RNP is not known.
Source: Rfam by way of RNAcentral